This 310-nucleotide ribosomal RNA is filed under the name uncultured eukaryote. RNAcentral describes it as "partial 18S ribosomal RNA". It matches the Rfam family "Eukaryotic small subunit ribosomal RNA", at positions 1470 to 1796 of the family's 1831-position model. The record is from RNAcentral.
CCCUUAGAUGUUCUGGGCCGCACGCGCGCUACACUGAUGCAUUCAACGAGUCUAAAACCUGGUCUGAUAGGGCUGGGUAAUCUUUUGAAAGUGCAUCGUGAUUGGGAUAGAUGAUUGCAAUUCUUCAUCUUCAACGAGGAAUGCCUAGUAAACGCAAGUCAUCAACUUGCGUUGAUUACGUCCCUGCCCUUUGUACACACCGCCCGUCGCUACUACCGAUUGAAUGGUUUAGUGAGGCCUUCGGAUCCGCGACUCGUUUGUGGAGAAGUUGGACAAACUCAGUCAUUUAGAGGAAGUAAAAGUCGUAACA